This 19996-nucleotide long non-coding RNA is filed under the name Hordeum vulgare. Its description in RNAcentral is "long non-coding RNA (HVUL_LNC018838)". Lineage: Eukaryota; Viridiplantae; Streptophyta; Magnoliopsida; Poales; Poaceae. The record is from RNAcentral.
GCAUAUGGACUCCGUUUUUGAUGAACUCGAGCUUGUCACGAAGAUGACCAUAAGCUCUAAAACUCACAAAGAGAAACACCAAACAAGAACCAAGAAGUAUGAUGCAAGGAUGCAAAUGGUUUGAGCUCUCAGCAAACGAUACGAUCAAGCUACUCACUCGAGAGCCCCCCCCCCCCCCUUGAUAGAACAGCAAUCUAUCCUAACCAGAAAACCUAUCAAGGGCAAACCUAUACCUUGCACCUCGUCCUCUUGAGCUAGAUGAUGAUGAUCUUGGCUUCCUCAAGAUGGACCACCUUUCUUGAUUGUGUUGGCUUGAUGAAGACUAGUUGAUUGCUCCCCCAUACUCACUAUGGGUGAGCCACUCUUCAGCAUAUCUUCACAAGUCCAUUGCCACCACAAUGGACGGCAAGCUUCAAGCAUGCUAUCUUCGUGCUGAUCCACUUGAACUUGCACAUCGCAAUUUUGAUGACGAUCACAACUUGACGUCAUACUCCAUGGGUUGUAUGAGAUCUUCCCUUUGACGCAAGCCCAUGGAAACACACCUAACCCCCACAUAGAACUCUCACGAAGACCAUGGGUUAGUACACAAACACGUAAUGGACAAUGCUUACCAUACCAUGGGAUCACUUGAUCCCUCUCGGUACAUCUUGUACGCUUUGUGUGUUGAUCAUCUUGGUUUACUCUUUGUCUGAGAUCUUGAUCAACCAUUGAUGAUGAUCACAACUUGACGUCAUACUCCAUGGGUUGUAUGAGAUCUUCCCUUUGACGCAAGCCCAUGUAAACACACCUAACCCCCACAUAGAACUCUCACGAAGACCAUGGGUUAGUACACAAACACGUAAUGGACAAUGCUUACCAUACCAUUGGAUCACUUGAUCCCUCUCGGUACAUCUUGUACGCUUUGUGUGUUGAUCAUCUUGAUUUACUCAUGGGUUGUAUGAGAUCUUCCCUUUGACGCAAGCCCAUGGAAACACACCAUACCAUGGGAUCACUUGAUCCCUCUCGGUACAUCUUGUACGCUUUGUGUGUUGAUCAUCUUGAUUUACUCUUUGUCUGAUAUCUUGAUCAACCAUGUGUCUCUAUGACCAUUCUUUGGAUAAUACCUUGAAUACCAUCUUGGUCAUCAUAUAAACUCCUUGAACCCAACAGAUGGACUUCAAGAAGUGCCUAUGGACAAAUCCUAUAAAUGUAACUUAAGGCAACCAUUAGUCCAUAGGAAUUGUCAUCAAGUACCAAAACCACAUAUGGAGAUAUAUGCUCCAACAGCAGCGAUUGAAGGAUUCUGUCAGUGAUAGCUUCUUGCGGGAGUUCAAUCCCCAGUUCAGCUAGACGAUUUGAGUACCCAGACAUUUUGAGCACAUGUUCACUGACAGACGAGUUUUCCUCCAUCUUGCAAGCAUAGAAUUUAUCGGAGGUCUCAUACCUCUCGAUCCGGGCGUUCUUCUAAAAGAUAAACUCCAACUCCUGGAACAUCUCAAAUGCUCCAUGACGCUCAAAGCAACGUUGAAGUCCCGGUUCUAAGCCAUACAAGACUGCACAUUGAACUAUUGAGUAGUCCUCCUUACGUGCUAACCAAGCGUUCUUAACGUCCUGAUCAGCCGUAGCGGGUGGUUCAUCUCCUAGCGCAGCAUUAAGGACAUAAUCCUUCUUCCCAGCUUGUAAGAUUAGCUUAAGAUUACGAGCCCAGUCUACAAAGUUGCUUCCAUCAUCUUUCAACUUAGCUUUCUCUAGGAACGUAUUAAAAUUCAGGAUGACAGUCGCGUGAGCCAUGAUCUACAACACAAAUAUAUUCAAAGUGGACUUAGACUAUGUUCAAGAUAAUUAGAGUUCAACUUAAUCAAAUUAUAUGCUAAACUCCCACUCAAAAAGUACAUCUCUCUAGUCAUUUGAGUGGUUCAUGAUCCACUUACACUAUCCCAAGUCCGAUCAUCACGUGAGUUGAGUAUAGUUUCAGUGGUAAGCAUCCCUAUGCUAAUCAUAUCAACUAUAUGAUUCAUGAUCGACCUUUCGGUCUCAUGUGUUCCGAGGCCAUGUCUGCACAUGCUAGGCUCGUCAAGCUUAACCCGAGUGUUCCGCGUGCGCAACUGUUUUGCACCCGUUGUAUGUGAACGUUGAGUCUAUCACACCCGAUCAUCACGUGGUGUCUCGAAACGACGAACUGUAGCAACGGUGCACAGUCGGGGAGAACACAAUUUCGUCUUGAAAUUUUAGUGAGAGAUCACCUCAUGAUGCUACCGUCGUUCUAAGCAAAAUAAGGUGCAUAAAAGGAUUAACAUCACAUGCAAUUCAUAAGUGACAUGAUAUGGCCAUCAUCACGUGCUUCUUGAUCUCCAUCACCAAAGCACCGGCACGAUCUUCUUGUCACCGGCGCCACACCAUGAUCAUCCAUCAACGUGUCGCCAUCGGGGUUGUCGGGCUACUCAUGCUAUUACUACUAAAACUACAUCCUAGCAAAAUAGUAAACGCAUCUGCAAGCACAAACGUUAGUAUAAAGACAACCCUAUGGCUCCUGCCGGUUGCGGUACCAUCGACGUGCAAGUCGAUAUUUCUAUUACAACAUGAUCAUCUCAUACAUCCAAUAUAUCACAUCACAUCGUUGGCCAUAUCACAUCACAAUCAUACCCUGCAAAAACAAGUUAGACGUCCUCUAAUUUUGUUGUUGCAUGUUUUACGUGGUGACCAAGGGUAUCUAGUAGGAUCGCAUCUUACUUACGCAAACACCACAACGGAGAUAUAUGAGUUGCUAUUUAACCUCAUCCAAGGACCUCCUCGGUCAAAUCCGAUUCAACUAAAGUUGGAGAAACCGACACUUGCCAGUCAUCUUUGAGCAAAGGGGGUUACUCGUAACGAUGAAACCAGUCUCUCGUAAGCGUACGAGUAAUGUCGGUCCAAGCCGCUUCAAUCCAACAAUAACGCGGAAUCAAGAAAAGACUAAGGAGGGCAGCAAAACGCACAUCACCGCCCACAAAAACUUUUGUGUUCUACUCGAGAAGACAUCUACGCAUGUACCUAGCUCAUGAUGCCACUGUUGGGGAACGUCGCAUGGGAAACAAAAAUUUUCCUACGCACACGAAGACCUAUCAUGGUGAUGUCCAUCUACGAGAGGGGAUGAGUGAUCUACGUACCCUUGUAGAUCGUACAGCAGAAGCGUUAGAGAACGCGGUUGAUGUAGUGGAACAUCCUCACGUCCCUCGAUCCGCCCCGCGAACAAUCCCGCGAUCAGUCCCACGAUCUAGUACCGAACGGACGGCACCUCCGCGUUCAGCACACGUACAGCUCGACGAUGAUCUCGGCCUUCUUGAUCCAGCAAGAGAGACGGAGAGGUAGAAGAUUUCUCCGGCAGCGUGACGGCGCUCCGGAGGUUGGUGAUGACCUUGUCUCAGCAGGGCUCCGCCCGAGCUCCGCAGAAACGCGAUCUAGAGGAAAAACCGUGGAGGUAUGUGGUCGGGCUGCCGUGGAAAAGUCGUCUCAAAUCAGCCCUAAAACCUCCGUAUAUAUAGGUGGGAGGGAGGGGGCCUUGCCUUGGGGUCCAAGGACCCUCAAGGGGAUCGGCCGAGCCAAGGGGGAGGACUCUCCCCCCCCCCCCCCCAAACCGAGUUGGACUAGGUUUGGUGGGAGGGAGUCCCCCUUCCUUCCCACCUCCUCCUUUUUUUUCCUUUCUCUCUUGAUUUUCUUCUCCUUGGCGCAUAGGGCACUUGUGGGCUGUCCCACCAGCCCACUAAGGGCUGGUGUGUCUCCCCAAAGGCCUAUGGGCUUCCCCGGGGUGGGUUGCCCCCCCCCCCCGGUGAACUCCCGGAACCCAUUCGUCAUUCCCGGUACAUUCCCGGUAACUCCGAAAACCUUCCGGUAAUCAAAUGAGGUCAUCCUAUAUAUCAAUCUUCGUUUCCGGACCAUUCCGGAAACCCUCGUGACGUCCGUGAUCUCAUCCGGGACUCCGAACAACAUUCGGUAACCAACCAUAUAACUCAAAUACGCAUAAAACAACGUCGAACCUUAAGUGUACAGACCCUGCGGGUUCGAGAACUAUGUAGACAUGACCCGAGAGACUCCUCGGUCAAUAUCCAAUAGCGGGACCUGGAUGCCCAUAUUGGAUCCUACAUAUUCUACGAAGAUCUUAUCGUUUGAACCUCAGUGCCAAGGAUUCGUAUAAUCCCGUAUGUCAUUCCCUUUGUCCUUCGGUAUGUUACUUGCCCGAGAUUCGAUCGUCAGUAUCCGCAUACCUAUUUCAAUCUCGUUUACCGGCAAGUCUCUUUACUCGUUCCGUAAUACAAGAUCCCGCAACUUACACUAAGUUACAUUGCUUGCAAGGCUUGUGUGUGAUGUUGUAUUACCGAGUGGGCCCCGAGAUACCUCUCCGUCACACGGAGUGACAAAUCCCAGUCUUGAUCCAUACUAACUCAACUAACACCUUCGAAGAUACCUGUAGAGCAUCUUUAUAGUCACCCAGUUACGUUGCGACGUUUGAUACACACAAAGCAUUCCUCCGGUGUCAGUGAGUUAUAUGAUCUCAUGGUCAUAGGAAUAAAUACUUGACACGCAGAAAACAGUAGCAACAAAAUGACACGAUCAACAUGCUACGUCUAUUAGUUUGGGUCUAGUCCAUCACGUGAUUCUCCCAAUGUCGUGAUCCAGUUAUCAAGCAACAACACCUUGUUCAUAAUCAGAAGACACUGACUAUCAUCGAUCAACUGGCUAGCCAACUAGAGGCAUGCUAGGGACGGUGUUUUGUCUAUGUAUCCACACAUGUAAAUGAGUCUUCAUUCAAUACAAUUAUAGCAUGGAUAAUAAACUAUUAUCUUGAUACAGGAAUUAUAAUAAUAACUAUAUUUAUUAUUGCCUCUAGGGCAUAACUCCAACACCUAGAACAUGGCAUCACAUCAAAACUAUUCAACAUGCAUGUGAUAGACAUGCUUGACAUUGAUAUAUAUAACACAUCUAAAUAUCUUCAUGCUAAGAAAUAUAAUAAAACAUGAAAAAUUGCACAAAUAAAUCAAGCAAUACCUAGAAAAAUAUUCUGAGGAAUUAUAAGCAUGGCAAACACUCACCAAAAUUUGUACGCGCACGUACAAUAAGUAUCGAACAUUACUAAAAUAGUACUCCCUCCGUUCCUAAAUAUAAGACCUUUUAGAGAUUGCACUAUAUACUACGUACGGAUGUAUGUAGUCAUAUUUUAAAGUGUACGUUCACUCAUUUUAUUCCGUAUGUAGUCUAUAGUCAAAUCUCUAAAAGGUCUUAUAUUUCGGAACAGAGGGAGUAGUAAUAAGAUUAUUCUAACGAUGAUCCUAAAAUAAUAAUAACACCCAUCAAGUAUGUAUGAACAUUGAUAAUCCGUUACACCGAAUCAACUUCUACACAUGAAAGUAAUUCAUCAGAACUAGUAUACGGACAUAUAAUACUAUUACACGAUGCACGCAAUUAUCUAGAUGAAAAACUAAAAGACUAUUCUUAAUAAUUUAAAUGUACACUCAAAUCAAUCGAUUAAACCACAUGAUAUUUCUAAAAUUCGAAGGUGAAUACCAUGCACUCCUAGUCAUAACACGAACACAUGAAAUAACAUACUAAUAUAAAAAUUAACAAAACUAGAAAGACUCUUGAAUUAAAAAACGACUAUUAUCACAUCUAUCCUACGGUUCACAAGAUAAAACCAAUAAUCUAACUCCACCACAGCUUCUAUGGUCAUGGGAAUAAUUCCAUAUGUUGGACACGAAGUCAUAUAAUUAGUAGAAACUAAAGAAAACAUGUUGAUGCCACUGGAUGACCUUUGACUUUUGGACGCCCGCGUCCAACUUGCGAAAUAUGAUGAAUUAUGAUGUCUAAGAGAUACACUACAUGAUGUUGAGGAGGUGUACAAAACGAAAUUGAUAGAGGCUCAUCAAGUUCGAAGAAACAUGGCGAUGAACUCGACGAGCAAUGUAGAUGGACAUGUGAAAUUCUUCGUGUACGGUCGAUGGAAUGAACUUCUUCUUCUCUGAAUGGAACUGUGGCAUGGAUGAGAAUCUUCAGGCAUGAGAGUCCUGAUGGAGAUGGCCCAUGUCACCGGGAUUGAUACGUCACGUCCAUGGGGCUUCAAAGUUCAGGGAGCUUUCACGGGGAUAGGAGGAAGGGAGAGGUCAGGAGUUGCUGCGGGAAUGGAACAGGAGUUUGAGCGCACGUCUAUAUGUCUUGGGAAUUGCAAACGGUGGAAGUUGGGGAAAUUAGAGGAGGGCUUUGCUUCGACAACAGACAACAGCGCCAGAAAUUGACACGUUGACGGAGAUUGGGCUUGCGUUGUUUUUUACGUUGAAGAGGAAAGGGUGAUGCAGCACAGGAGGAGUAAGUAUUUCCCUCAGUUUGAGAACCAUGGUAUCAAUCCAGCAGGAGAAUCUCGUCAAGCCCAGAGUACCUGCGCAAACACAAAAGAGCUUGCACCCAACGCUUUAAAGGGGUUGUCAAUCCCUUCAAGAUUGAUUGCAAACUGAGAUCUGAAGGCGGAAAGUGCAACGAAGUAAAAAGUGUAAGGCUGAAAAUAUGGUGUGGAGUAGACCCGGGGGCCAUAGUGUUCACUAGAGGCUUCUCUCAAAAUAGCAAGUAUUACAGUGGGUGAACAAAUUACUGUCGAGCCAUUGAUAGAACCAUGCAAAGUCAUGACGAUAUCUAAGGCAAUGAUCAUACAUAUAGGCAUCAUGUCCGAGACAAGUAGACCGAUACUUUCUGCAUCUACUACUAUUACUCCACACAUCGACCGCUAUCCAGCAUGCAUCUAGUGUAUUGAGUUCAUGACGAACAGAGUAACACCUUAAGCAAGAUUACAUGAUGUAGAGGGAUAAUCUCAAACCAAUGAUGAAAACCCCAUCUUUUUACCCUUGAUGGUAACAACACGAUGCGUGCCUCGCUACCCCUUCUGUCACUGGGUGAGGUCACCGCACGGUAUGAACCCAAAACCAAGCACUUCUCCCAUUGCAAGAAUCAUAGAUCCAGUUGGCCACACAAAACCCACAAAUCGAAGAGAAUUACAAGGAUAUGAAAUCAUGCAUAAGAGAGAUCAGAAGAAACUCAAAUAAGAUUCAUAGAUAAUCUGAUCAUAGAUCCACAAUUCAUCGGAUCUCGACAAACACACCGCAAAAGAAGAUUACAUCGGAUAGAUCUCCAUGAAGAUCAUGGAGAACUUUGUAUUGAAGAUCCAAGAGAUAGAAGAAGCCAUCUAGCUACUAGCUAUGGACCCGUAGGUCUAUGGUGAACUACUCACGCAUCAUCGAAGAGGUCAUGGUGUUGAUGAAGAAGCCCUCCGUAUCCGAAUCCCCCCUCCGGCAAGGCACCAGAACGUGCCCCAGAUGGGAUCUUGCGGAGACAGAAGCUUGCGGCGGCGGAAAAGUACUUUCGAUGAUCUCCUGAUUUUUUCUGGGAUUUUAGGGAAUAUAUAGGCGCAAAACCUAGGGCAGAGGUGGCCCAGGGAGCCCACAAGCUAGGGUGGCGCGGGCCCCCCUGGCCGCGCGAUGAGGUCUUGUGGGGUCCCUGCAGGCUCCCUGCCCUAAUUCUGUGGCUUCUUGAUCUUUUUCUGUUUCGGAAAAAAUCUUUUUGGCAGUUUCAUUCCGUUUGGACUCCGUUCAAAAUCCUCCUCUGAAAGAGGUCAAAAACAUGGAAAAACAGGAUCUGGCACUUCGCACCGAGGAAAUAAGUUAGUCUCAAAAAAUAUAUAAAAGGCAUAGAAAACAUCCAAAGUUUGACAAGAUAAUAGCAUGAAACCAUCAAAAAUUAUAGAUACGUUGGAGACGUAUCAAGCAUCCCCAAGCUUAACUCCUGCUCGUCCUCGAGUAGGGAAGUGAUAAAGACUGAAUUUUUGAUGUGGAAUGCUACCUAGCAUAGUUGUCCUUUGCAACUUCUUUCACGUGACAUGAAUGUUCAGAUCCGUAAGCUCAAAACAAUAGUUUGCUAUUGACAUGAAAACAAUAAUACUUCAAGCAAACUAGCAAGGUAAUCAUGAACUUUCAAAAUAACAAGGCCAAGGAAAGUUGUCCCUACAAAAUUAUAUAGUCUGGCUAUGCUCCAUCAUCCUCACACAACUAAUGUAAAUCAUGCACAACCCCGGUAUUGUCCAAGUAAUUGUUUUCGCACUCUUACUUUCUCAAACUUUUUAUAACUAUCACGCAAUACAUGAGCGUGAGCCAUGGAUAUAACACUAUAAGUGGAAUAGAGUGUGGUGGUGGUUGUGAGACAAAAAGGAGGAGAUGGUCACAUUGACUCGGCGUAUCAAAAGGCUAUGGAGAUGCCCAUUAAUAGAUAUCAAUGUGAAUGAGUAGGGAUUGCCAUACAAGGGAUGCACUAGAGCUAUAAGUAUGUGAAAGCUCAAAAGGAGAACUAGUGGGUGUGCAUCCAACUUGCUUGCUCACGAAGACCUAGGGAAAUUUUAAGGAAGCCCAUCAUUGGAAUAUACAAGCCAAGUUAUAUAAUGAAGAUUCCCACUAGCAUAUGGUAGUGACAAAGCAAGAAGCUCUCAAUCAUGAAGAACAUGGUGCUAUUAUGAAGCACAAGUGUGGAAAAAGAUAGUAGCAUUGUCCCUUCUCUCUUUUUCUCUUUUUUGUUUGGGCUCUUGGCCUCUCUUUUUUUGGGCUCUUUGGCCUCUCUUUUUUCCUCACAUGGCACAAUGCUCUAAUGAUGAUCAUCACACUUUUAUUUACUCACAGCUCAAAGCUUAGAACGAUGAUGACUCUAUAGGAAAUGCCUCCGGCAGUGUGCAACGAUCUAGCUUGGCGUAUGACGUUGAAACAUCUCGCUAGCUAUCUUACGAUCAUGCAAUGGCAAUAUGAGAGUGACGGCACAAGUCAUGAGACGGAACGGUGGGAGUUGCAUGGCAAUAUAUCUCGGAAUGGCUAUGAAAAUGCCAUAGUAGGUAGGUAUGGUGGCUGUUUUGAGGAAGGCAUAUGGUGGGUUUGUGUACCGGUGAAAGUUGUGCGACACUAGAGAGGCUAGCAAAGGUGGAAGGUGAAAGUGCAUCUAUACCAUGGACUCACAUUAGUCAUGAAGAACUCACAUACUUGUUGCGAAAGUUUUUAUUAGUAAUCGAAACAAAGUGCUAAACGCAUGCUCCUAGGGGAAGGGUUGGUAGCUGUUAACCAUCGCGCGAUCCCGACCUGAACACAAAGGAUGACAAUCAAUAGAUCAAUUAUGCUCCGACUUCCUAACAUAGCGGUUCACCAUACGUGCAUGCUAUCGGAAUCAGUAACUUCAACAAAAGUAUUUCUAGAUUCACAACACCCUACUAACAUAACUCUUAAUAUUACCGAAUCCACGUCUCAAAACUAAUUGAGAGGAAUCAAGACUUCUCUUUCUACUCAAUCCACAUGAAGAUGGAGGUUUUUAUAUCCUCUUUGGGUACCUAUCACCUUUGGGACUACUUUCAUAUCAUAAGCCAACUACCAAGUCACGAACCACCGUGCUCUAAAAGAUAUAACUGAAGCACAUAGAGCAAAAUUAUCUAGCUCAAAACAUAUAAGUGAAGCACUAUGAGCAUUCUAGCAAAAUCACGAUGAGUGCAUGUCUCUCUCUCUCAAAAAGGUGUGCAGCAAGGAUGAUUGUGACACAACAAAAAGAAAAGACUCCUACGAUACAACACACUCCAAGCAAAACACAUAUCAUGUGAUGAAUAGAAAUAUAGCUCCAACCUCCAAGUAAUGUUACCGAUGGAUUGAAGACGAAAGAGGGGAUGCCUUCCCGGGGCAUCCCCAAGCUUAGGCUUUUUUGUGUCCUUCAAUUUGGCUUGGGAUGCCUUGGGCAUCCCGAAGCUUGAGCUCUUUCCGCUCCUUAUCUCUUUGUCCAUGAGAAUAUCACCCAAAACUUGAAAACUUCACAACACAAAACUUAAACAGAAACUCGUGAUAUCAUUAGCACAAGAAAACAAACUACCACCUCUUUUGGUACUGUAGCAAACUUGAAUUCUAUCUAUAUUGGUGUUGGGCUACUGUAUUCUCACUUUUCCAUGGUGAGUACCCCCUGAUACUAACCAUAAUUUGAUCAAAACAAGCAACCAACUCAACAAAAACAGAAUCUGUCAAAAACAUACCAGUCUCUAGCAAUCUCUAUACUUCGUAUACUUCUGUUACCUCAAAAAUUCUAAAAACUUACGACUGCCUCGGAAAAAGGCAUAUAAACCAGCAGCAAAAAGAAUCAACUCAAAAUCUCUUUCUGAAUAAAAAUGAAAAAUCAUCUCGUGAGCAAAAAGUUUCUGUCUUUUUUCAGCAGGAUCAAACAACCAUUACCAAGACUAGUCAUAAAGGUUUUGCUUGGCUCAAAUACAAAAAGAAACAAAAAAACACAAUCACAACAGAAUUAUGAUGGUGCGGAUGCAAAAAUACAGAAAGAAAAAAGAUAAAUUCAUUGGGUUGCCUCCCAACAAGCGCUAUUGUUUAACGCCCUUAGCUAGGCAUAAAAGCAAUAGAAUCACGUAUCGUCGUCUUUGGUGCUCAAACCAUAAGUGACCCUCAUCAUGGAUUCAUAAGGCAAUCUUAUUUUCUUUCUAGGAAAGUGUUCCAUGUCCUUCUUUAAAGGAAAUUGAAAUCUAAUAUUCCCUUCCUUCAUAUCGAUGAUAGCACCGAUAGUCCUUAGGAAAGGUCUACCAAGAAUAAUAGGGCAUGUAGGAUUGCAAUCAAUGUCAAGCACAACGAAAUCCACGGGUACAUAGUUCCUUUUUGCAAUAAUAAGAACAUCAUUGAUCCUUCCCAUGGGUUUCUUGACAGUAGAAUCCGCAAGAUGCAAAUUAAGAGAACACUCUUCAAUCUCAUUAAAACCCAGAACAUCACAUAAAUACUUUGGAAUCGCGGAAACACUAGCACCCAAAUCACACAAAGCAUUGCAUUCAUAGUUUUUGAUUUUGAUUUUGAUAGUAGGUUCCCACUCAUCAUGAAGCUUUCUAGGGAUAGAGACUUCCAAUUCAAGUUUCUCUUCAAGAGAUUUUUAUCAUAGCUUCGACGAUAUGAUCGGUAAAGGCCUUGUUUUGGCUAUAAGAGUGUGGAGAGUUUAACAUGGAUUGCAUCAAGGAAAUGCAUUCAAUCAAGGAGCAACUAUCAUAAUUGAACUCCUAGAAAUCCAUGGUAGUAAUUUCGUUACUACUCAAAGUUUUAAUAUCUUCUACUCCGCUUUCAAUGCUUUUUUGCAUCAAGAUAGAUGGACUCCGAAACAUUGGGGCAGUUUUCAACCAAAGUGGAUUCAUAUCCAGCCCCAUCAUAAUUAGAUUUGACACAAGAAAAUAAAGAUUGAAUGGGAGUCACACCAAGCACUUUAAGAUCUUCGUGAUUCUUAUCACGAGAACACGCCUUUUUAAGCCAUUCAUGUCUAGCACGAAUUUGGGCGGUUCUUUCUUUGCUCUCAAUCAUGGAAACACGCAUAGCUUUCAAAGUUUCAUCCAUAUUGAUCCUGGGAGGAGCACAUCUAACUUUCAAAGCAUCAAUAUCACUAGACAUUCUAUCAAUGCUCUUAGCCAAAUCGUCAAUUUUGAGUAGUUUUUCCUCUAUGGACGCAUUGAAAAUCUUUUGUGAGUUGAUAAACUCUUUGAUAUUACUCUCUAGAUCAGAGGGUAAUCUAUUGUAAUUUCCAUGAGUAUUGUUGUAGUAGUUGCCAAAGUUAUUAGAUGAGUUACUAGGAAAAGGCCUAGGAACAUAGUUUCCUCUAAAAGCAUUGUUGUUGCCAAAAUUAUUCCUACCAACAAAAUUAACGUCCAAUCUAGCAUUGCUACUCUCAAUCAAGGAAGACAAGGGCAUAUCAUUAGGAUCUAAAGGAGCACUUCUACUAGCAACCAAAUUCAUUAACUCAUCCAUCUUAGCACUCAACGAGUUAAUUUCUUCUAUAGCGUGUACCUUCUUACUACUAGGUGACCUUUCAGUGUGCCACUAAGAGUAGUUUGCCAUGAUAUUGUCUAGGAGUUUUGUGGCUUCCCCUAACGUGAUUUCCAUGAACGUUCCACCUGAGGCGGAGUCCAAGAUAUUUCUAGAAGCGAAAUUCAAGCCAGCAUAAACGAUUUGUAUAAUCAUCCAAAGAAUCAAGCCAUGAGCGGGACAAUUUCUAAUCAUCAAUUUCAUUCUCUCCCAAGAUUGUGCAACAUGUUCAUGAUCAAGUUGCUUGAAAUUCAUGAUAUCAUUACGGAGAGAGAUAAUCUUAGCCGGCGAAAAUACUUGGAUAUAUAAGCAUCUUUGCACUUAUCCCAAGAAUCGAUACUAUUUUUGGGCAAAGAAGAAAACCAAGUUUUUGCGCGAUCUCGCAACGAGAAAGGAAAAAAGCUUCAAUUUAAUAACAUCAUUAUCCACAUCUUUCUUCUUUUGCAUAUCGCAAAGCUCAAUGAAGGUAUAAGAUGGGAUGUGGCAUCUUCACUAGGAAGGCCGGAGAAUUGCUCUUUCAUAACAAGAUUCAGCAAAGCGGCAUUGAUUUCGUAUGACUCCACAUUAGUGGCAGGAGCAAUCAGAGUACUAAUAAAAUAAUUAUUAUUAGUAUUCGAGAAGUCACAAAGUUUGGUGUUUUCAUUCAUGGUGACUUCAGCAAUCAAGCAAGCACACAAGCGAACAAAGAGCAAGCAAUAAAAAGGGCGAACGAAAAGGCAAACGAAAAAGGCAAAUUGUGAAGUGGGAGAGAGGAAAACGAGAGGCAACUGGCAAACAAAGUAAAUGCAAGAGAUGAAUUUGCGACACUUACUUGGAUGAGUUCUUGACUUGAUCCUCCCCGGCAACGGCGCCAGAAAUUCUUUUGCUACGGCAACAGACAACAGCGCCAGAAAUUGACACGUUGACGGAGACUAGGCUUGCGUUGGUUUUUCCCUUGAAGAGGAAAGGGUGAUGUAGCACAGGAGCAGUAAGUAUUUCCCUUAGUUUGAGAACCAAGGUAUCAAUCCAGUAGGAGAAUCUCGUCAAGCCCAGAGUACCUGCGCAAACACAAAAGAGCUUGCACCCAACGCUUUAAAGGGGUUGUCAAUCCCUUCAAGAUUGAUUGCAAAGUGAGAUCUGAAGGCGGAAAGUCCAAACAAAGUGAGAUCCGAAGUGCCCCCUGCCCUGAUUCUACGGCUUCCCGAUCUUUUUCUGUUUCGGAAAAAAACUUUUUGGCAAUUUCAUUCCAUUUGGACUCCUUCAAAAUCCUCCUCUGAAAGCGGUCAAAAACAUGGAAAAACAUGAACUAGCACUUGGCAGUGAGUUAAUAAGUUAGUCCCAAAAUAUAUAUAUAAGGCAUACAAAACAUCCAAAGUUUGACAAGAUAAUAGCAUAAAACCAUCAAAAAUUAUAGAUACGUUGGAGACGUAUUAGGCUUCCAUAGUAACUGUAGGUUUCUGCUAUGUACGAGAACGAACAAAGAAGAGGAAGGAGAGCAAGCGCACACACAAUAUGGAGUCAUCAGUUUUUGAAAUCUGAAUUGAUUUAAGUAAUUGUGGAGGGCGACAAUCAUGACUUGAUGAUGGCGUUUCACUUCUAUCACUAGUAUAAAAAGGGUCGGCCGAAAGACCAUUAGUCCCGGUUCAAAUCAAAAUCUGUACCAAUGCCAGGCAUUGGUCCCGGUUCGGUUUGCCGGGGCAUUGGUCCCGGUUCGGUUCACCUCACUAGUCCUGGUUCGUGGAAAAACCCGGGACUAAAGAUCCAGCAACUCCCACGUGGUGUGCCGCGGAGAAUUACUCCCGGUUUGUGGCACGAACCGGGACUAAAGGGUAGGCUAUUAGUCCAGGUUGUAGACAAAAACCGGGACCAAAGUUCUGCCUAUAUAUACCGUCGCCCCUGCCCACACUCUCCUCUGUUUUUUGGCUGAAGUGUGCCCAUGCCAUGCCACCCUUGCCACUCAAGUUCAUGCAAUUGAUGUGUUCGAUGUAAUGCCCGAGCCACACUAGUUAAGCUUUCUCCUCUCCAAACUCGACAUCCAAACUCCAUUUUCCUCAAUAUUUGUCUAGGUUUGGCCGUGCACCAACUCCACAAGUGUUUUAAAAGGUUAGCUACUUCAUCCUUUAAUCUGUCACUGCUAGUUUAGCUCAUUUGAAAUGCUCAAAUUAACUUCUUAGAGUCUGCACAUGUGUAGGGUGCCGUCCCGUGCCCGUCCUCACCGUUGUCGAUCGCCCCACGCCGAUCUCAUCGCGAGCACCACCGUGGUGAGCCUCUUGUUCUUGUCUUCUUUUUAAAAGAAAAAAAAAUCUUACUUGUAUGAUUUAGAUACAUACUUGUAUAAAUUACUUACUUUCAUUAUUUUUCGUUAUUAUAUAGUACGAUGGUUUUGGUAUCCGCCUCCGUCGGCCCUCAUCUUGUCUAUGAUUCGGAUGUGGUAUAUAUUAUCUUUUAUAACUAUUUGUUUUAUUUAUUGUUUAUGAAAAUUAUGACGACCAACGUGACAUAUAUUUUUUAAUCUAGGAGGUAUGUGAACCGGAAAUUCCAACCCACAUAGAAAUUCUUCUCGAGAAGCUAAAUUUGGUUGAAAAAGAAAACAAAUACUUGAAGGAAAAAUUGAAAAUAAUUGGGGACAAGAAUAUGGAACUGGAGUUGCAUGUCGCCGAUGUCAUCGAUGAUCGCAAGAUGAAGAUCGAUGCGAUGUUGUUCAAGGUGGAUGCAAUGCGCUUGAAGAUGGAUGCAAUGCGCUUGAAGAUGGAUGAAAUGCGCUUGAAGAUUAGGAAUAUUAGAAAAUAUGCCAUUGAUAAAGAGGCUUGGUAUCAUUAUGCUGUUGGGUCAAUUGUUACCUUAGUUGCGAUUUUGAUCGCAUUUGUUGUUGCAUUUAAAUGUUUUAGAUAGUUGUAUGUUGUUUUAUGAGAGGAAUUUAUGUAUUUAUUUUUGCAAUAAUAAAGUUUUAUCACUACUAAGCUUUGGUUUUAAUGUGAUGAUGAACUUGUAUUAAUUUGAUCAUUUAUUUAUUCAUGAUGUUCUGCAAUGGUUUUUUGAUAUACUUAAUUUCAUAAUAGAGAUGAACCGCUAAUGGAUGUACGGUGACUGGCGCACUUCGGAGUACAUUACGAACCAGGACUAAUUAAUGCCCGAGUCACACUAAAGUUCACACAAAAUGGUAUCCUCGACUGAGGUUACCAACCUUCUUCAUGUGUAAUUGAUACAGAAAUAUUGCAUGUGUCAUUGUACGGUGGACAUUUCACUAUUCAUGUAUGAUGCCAGAUCGAUGCACGGAAGCGAUGGGUGUACGGCGAACGACGCGGUUCCCAAUUUAUUGCAGGCCUGCAUAAAUUUAUCGAUGUGGCUGAGGCAAACAAAGUGGAUAAUUUUAUGCCUUGCCCAUGUGUUGGUUGUCGAAACGGGAAGGAGUACUCUAGCUCGAAAGUCAUUCAUCUCCACUUGCUUCAGAGAGGUUUCAUGCCCAUAUAUUAUUGUUGGACCAUGCACGGAGAAAGAGGGGUUACGAUGGAAGACAAUGAAGAAGAUGAUGAUGAUGACAACUAUCAUAUGUUCACUGAAGAAGACGGUGAUACUACAAUGGAAGACAAUGAAGAAGAAGGAGGUGAAGAACAACCGGCAUCAGAUGAGCCCGCUGAUAGUCUUUGUCGGGUCAUUUCUGAUGCAAAGAGAGAAUGCGAUACAGAAAAGGAGAAGCUGAAGUUGGAGGCCAUGCUAAAGGAUCAUAAAAAGUUCUUGUACCCAAAUUGCGAAGAUGGCAGCACAAAGCUCGGUACCACAUUGGAACUGUUGAAAUGGAAGGCAGAAACUGGUUUAUCUCACAAGGGAUUUGAGAAGUUACUGAAAAUAUUGAAGCUGAAGCUUCCAAAGGAUAACGAAUUGCCCGAGACUAUGUACGAAGCAAUGAAGGCUAUCUGCCCUCUUGGAUUAGAUGUGCAGAAGAUACAUGCAUGCAUUGAUGACUGCAUCCUGUACUGCGGUGAGAAGUACGAGAAUAUGGAUAAAUGUCCGGUAUGCACUGCAAGUCGGUACAAGAUCAGGCAGGAUGACCCUGGUGAUGUUGAGGGCAAUGACAAGCCCCCCAGGAAGAAGGUUCCUGCUAAGGUUAUGUGGUAUGCUCCUAUAAUACCACGGUUGAAACGUUUGUUCAGAAACAAUGAACAUGUCAAGUUGAUGCGAUGGCACAAAGACGAGCGUAAGAAAGACGGGAAAAAGUUGAGACACCUCACAGAUGGGUCGCAGUGGAGGAAAAUCGAGAGGGAGUGGCCGGACUUUGCCGAUGACCCAAGGAACUUAUGGCUUGGUCUAUGUACAGACGGCAUGAAUCCUUUUGGGAGCAGAGUUGCAGUCACAGCACCUGGCCCGUGACUCUAUGUAUCUACAACCUUCCUCCUUGGUUGUGCAUGAAGCGGAAGUUCAUUAUGAUGCCAGUGCUCAUCCAAGGACCGAAGCAACCAGGCAACGACAUUGAAGUGUACCUAAGGCCAUUAGUUGAUGAACUUUUGCAGUUGUGGGCCAAACCAGGUGUACGUGUGUGGGUUGAGCACAAACAGCAGGAAUUUGACCUAUGAAAUUUUUUGUUCGUAACCAUCAAUGAUUGUCCUGCUCUUAGUAACAUUCCAGGACAGUCAAACAAGGGAUACAAUGCAUGCACACACUGUUUAGAUAAGACUAAAGGUACAUAUUUGGAAAAAUCUAAGAAGGUUGUCUACCUGGGGUGUCGUCAAUUUCUUCCGACCAAUCAUCCCGUAAGAAAGAAAGGCAAGCAUUUCAACGGUGAGGCAGAUCACCGGAAGAAGCCUAACCCCCUACUGGUGAUGAGUUAUUGGCUAUGGUCAAGGAUUUGGAUCAAAUAGUAAUCUUUGGAAAGGGUCCUGGUGGUCAUUCUGUUCCGAAAGACGAUGUUACUGGACACGUGCCCAGGUGGAAAAAAAAAAUCUUUCUUUUGGCAGCUACCCUAUUGGAAACACCUAGAAGUCCGGUCUUCAAUCGACGUGAUGCACGUGACGAAGAAUCUUUGCAUGAACCUGCUAGGCUUCCUGGGCGUGUAUGGGAAGACAAAAGAUACAACAGAAGCACGGGAGGAGGAGCAACGUAUGAAAGACCCAUACGACAAGAAGACUGAUAAAGGGCGUCAAUACUUAAGCAGCUAUGCUCUUAGCAAAGCACAGAAGGAAAUCUUUUUUGAAUGUCUGAGCAGUAUGAAGGUCCCCGCUGGCUUCUCGUCUAAUAUAAACGGAAUAAUAAAUAUGGCAGAGAAAAAAAUUCCAGAACCUGAAGUCUCAUGAUUGCCACGUGAUUAUGACGCAGUUGCUUCCGGUUGCAUUGAGGGGGCUUCUACCGGAAAAUGUUCGAUUACCCAUUGUGAAGCUAUGUGCAUUCCUCAAUGCAAUAUCUCAGAAGGUAAUCGAUCGAGAACGUCUGGAAAGGCUACAGAAGAAUGUGGUCCAAUGUCUUGUCAGUUUUGAGUUGGUGUUACCCCCGUCCUUGUUCAAUAUUAUGACACAUCUCCUGGUUCACCUAGUCGACGAGAUUUCCAUUCUCGGUCCUGUAUUUCUACACAAUAUGUUCCCCUUCGAGAGGUUCAUGGGAGUCUUAAAGAAAUAUGUUCAUAACCGUGCUAGGCCAGAAGGAAGCAUCUCCAAGGGCUAUGGAACAGAGGAGGUCAUUGGGUUCUGUGUAGACUUUCUUCCUGACCUUAAGCCGAUUGGUAUUCAUGAAUCGCGGCAUGAGGGGAGACUGGGUGGAAAAGGCACACUAGGAAAAGAAACAUCAUGGGGAUCGAGGACAAGACAGACAUGUCAGCAGAUUAUAAUAAGUUUGAUCAAAUUCCGCCCUUCAUAGUGAGAAUUGACCAAGCAUCCCGUUAAAUAAUGAAGAUGCUCCAUGGUUACGGCCAAAGAGAUCAUAGGCAAGGGAUCCAAAUAUAAAUCUAUGUAUUGUAUUAAACUUUGUGGGAUGUGUACUAAUGUAUUAAACUUUAUGUGAUGUGUACUACUGUAUUAAACUUUAUGUGAUGUGUACUAAUGUAUUAAACUUAGUUCAUUUGUAGUGCUUUUCAAUUUCAGGGUCAACUAGCUCAAAAAAAUAAGUAAAUGCACGAAAAAUAUCAAAUGAAGUCAGAAAUUGUUGAAAAUUUGUGAUGUGCCUUUGAAUGGUGCAUUUUGAACACACAAAAAGUAUGGAAUUCAAAUAAGGUCAAAAAUGAAAUCCCUUUGUAACACAUGAGUUAUCGUUCGAAACCCUCAUACUUCGACAGAGAUUGUCCGUUUUGUACACGAAGUGCAUCCAGUUUUUUGUCGUAACCCUCUCAACUUUUUAUCACAUGCUAUGUGGGUGAAAUGAUGAUAUCAUGCCAACUUUCUACAUUUUCAGAGUUCAUUUGUAGUGCUUUUCAAUUUCACGGUCAACUAGCUCAAAAAAAUAAGUAAACACACAAAAAAUAUCAAAUAAAGUCAGAAAUUGUUGAAAAUUUGUGAUGUGCCUUUGAAUUGUGCAUUUUGAACACACAAAAAGUAUGGAAUUCAAAUAAGUUCAAAAAAUGAAAUCCAUUUGUAACAGAUGAGUUAUCAUUCGAAACCCUCACACUUCGAGAGAGAUUGUCCGUUUUGUACACGAAGUGCAUCCAGUUUUUGUCGUAACCCUCUCAACUUUUUAUCACAUUCUAUGUGGGUGAAAUUAUGAUACCAUUCCAACUUUCAACAUUUUCAGAGUUCAUUUGUAGUGCUUUUCAAUUUCAGGGUCAACUAGCUCAAAAAAAUAAGUAAAUGCAUGAAAAAUAUCAAAUGAAGUCAGAAAUUGUUGAAAAUUUGUGAUGUGCCUUUGAAUGGUGCAUUUUGAACACACAAAAAGUAUGGAGUUCAAAUAAGUUCAAAAAAAUGAAAUCCCUUUGUAACAGAUGAGUUAUCGUUCGAAACUGUGAUACUUCGAGAGAGAUUGUUUGUUUUGUACACGAAGUGCAUCCAGUUUUUGCUGUAACCCUCUCAACUUUUUAUCACAUGCUAUGUGGGUGAAAUGAUUAUACCAUGCCAACUUUCAACAUUUUCAGAGUUCAUUUUUAGUGCUUUUCAAUUUCAGGGUCAACUAGCUCAAAAAAAUAAGUAAAUGCAUGAAAAAUAUCAAAUGAAGUCAGAAAUUGUUGAAAAUUUGUGAUGUGCCUUUGAAUGGUGCAUUUUGAACACACAAAAAGUAUACAAUUAAAUUAAGUGCAAAAAAAUGAAAUCCCUUUGUUAAAAUCUUAAACAGAAAACAAAGAUAAAAGAGAAAAAUUAUUAAAGUAAAAAAAUGUCGUCUAUUGGGCCAUCACGGCCUGCAUAUGACUAGAAACCCUACCCGACAGGUGGGCCAGGAUGCAGGCCCGCGAGCCCAAUAGGCCCAACAGGCAACGAGAGGACAGAUAGGCUCGUAGGCCUACUUUAGAGAGGAGCUCGAUGCACUUGUUGCGGCGGGGCUUAUAAACUAGUGUGAGCGCCCCUCGCUCGGCGAGGUGGGACUAAACAUAUCGUGCAGCCAGCCGAGGGGCUUUAGCCCCGGGUCGUGGCUAGAACCGGGACUAAACGACCCCCCCCCUUAGUCCCGGGUCUACGCCCACCCGGGGCUAAAGCCCCUCGCCUUCCCGCCUCCUCGCCUGCCGAAAACUACCUUUAGCCCCUGGUCGUGGGAAGAACCGGGACUAAAGGGUGGUCUUUAGUCCCGGUUCUUCCCAUGACCCGGGGCUAAAGCCCAUCCUAUAUAAGCGGGACUUCAAUUUUUCCAACCCCCACCAUCGCCAGUUUUGUUUUCUUCCUCCUUGCUCUCGCCUGCGCACCGCACGACACGACGACGAGCUCGACGCCGCCAGGCUGCCCCGACGUCCGCCUCGCUGUCGCCAUCGCCGACGCCCGUCGUCCUCCUCGCCGGCAUCGGAUCUCCGCGCGGGCCUCUUCUCCCCCGAGGUGAGCCACCGGCCCUCUUCUCCCUCCCCUCAUGAAGGCCGCGGCCGACGAGCUCGACCGCGCGCCAUUUCUGCCAUGGCCGCCCCUCCCAGAGCCCAUCCCCCACCUAGCCACCACCGGAGAUGCCCGAUCCAUCUCCGACGUAGGAGCCCCGCCGCACGCCGUCCAUCUCCGACGUUCGAGCCGCCGGUGUCGUAGACACAUGUACACACACACGUACACGUACACACACACACACAC